Molecule: long non-coding RNA, 643 nt
Organism: Leopardus geoffroyi (Geoffroy's cat)
Lineage: Eukaryota; Metazoa; Chordata; Mammalia; Carnivora; Felidae
Exons: 2
Source: RefSeq, a predicted model, not a curated record
CCCCCAAAGGCACAGGAUGAGAAUGUGAGGGACAGUUCUCUUAAAGCAACAGUGGAGUCAUUAAGCAAGGCAAAGGGAAUAUAUACUGGGUGCAAACUCCAGGUGUCUCUUACAACAUACUUUGCAGUUGGGAGCCACUCAAAGCCUCUGGUUGCUAAGCAGCUGUGUAGAGAGUAACCAACCUCGCCGUGGUUGCCACCAUUCUGAGACGGAGCACUCAAGAGAUGUGGCCCUUCUUUCCACUUAUGUCAUAAUCAUAAAAUGGUUAUUUAUUGCCAAGCUUUCAAGUAGUCUUCCGAAUGCUCUCAUAACACCUACAAGCUAUUCAGGGAUCACCAGGAUUCCGCAGGACCCAUUUAAGAGGCACUUCCAGAGACACUCCAAUGAUGUUGACAUAGCAGAUUUGUUAGUCUCAUUUUAUGAGACAUCAUCAGUUACUUGAGACGCAAGGGGCAGAAAUACUCAACCAAAGUCACAGGACUUAUUAGUGACAGAGUUUGGACUGGCUCUGAAUCCCAGGUCUGGACCUUUCUUACAAUGUCUUUGCAGAUUGAACACAAGGAGGUUCAACCGUCCAUAUCAAAUAUGGCGGAACUGACUUAAUUGUUAAAGAUCAACCUUAUGUUAUUAAAAGUGCUUUCUU